RNAcentral lists this ribosomal RNA (207 nucleotides) under uncultured bacterium. Its description in RNAcentral is "partial 16S ribosomal RNA". It matches the Rfam family "Bacterial small subunit ribosomal RNA", at positions 568 to 774 of the family's 1533-position model. The record is from RNAcentral.
UGCGCAGGCGGUUUUGUAAGUCAGAUGUGAAAUCCCCGGGCUUAACCUGGGAACUGCGUUUGAAACUACAAGACUAGAGUGUAGCAGAGGGGGGUGGAAUUCCAUGUGUAGCAGUGAAAUGCGUAGAGAUAUGGAAGAACACCGAUGGCGAAGGCAGCCCCCUAGGUUAACACUGACGCUCAGGCACGGAAGCGUGGGGAGCAAACA